This 218-nucleotide non-coding RNA is filed under the name Nitrosomonas nitrosa. The record is from RNAcentral. Lineage: Bacteria; Pseudomonadati; Pseudomonadota; Betaproteobacteria; Nitrosomonadales; Nitrosomonadaceae.
UUUUUGCACCCUGCUUCAGGUGCCCCUCGCAAUAAUGCUUGGGGUGAAACGGGAAGCUGGUGCAUCCCGCAAACUAGGAUAAAGCCAGCGCUGCCCCCGCAACGGUAAAUGAGUCAAUAAUCUGCCACAUGCCACUGUGUAUUGCACGGGAAGGCGCAGAUAGGGGAUCGAGGAUCCACUCAUAAGCCCGGAGACCGGCCUGAAGAAAUAUCAGGUAU